RNAcentral lists this ribosomal RNA (497 nucleotides) under uncultured bacterium. RNAcentral describes it as "partial 16S ribosomal RNA". It matches the Rfam family "Bacterial small subunit ribosomal RNA", at positions 28 to 507 of the family's 1533-position model. The record is from RNAcentral.
GAUGAACGCUGGCGGCGUGCCUAAUACAUGCAAGUCGAGCGAACGGACGAGAAGCUUGCUUCUCUGAUGUUAGCGGCGGACGGGUGAGUAACACGUGGAUAACCUACCUAUAAGACUGGGAUAACUUCAGGAAACCGGAGCUAAUACCGGAUAAUAUUUUGAACCGCAUGGUUCAAAAGUGAAAGACGGUCUUGCUGUCACUUAUAGAUGGAUCCGCGCUGCAUUAGCUAGUUGGUAAGGUAACGGCUUACCAAGGCAACGAUGCAUAGCCGACCUGAGAGGGUGAGCGGCCACACUGGAACUGAGACACGGUCCAGACUCCUACGGGAGGCAGCAGUAGGGAAUCUUCCGCAAUGGGCGAAAGCCUGACGGAGCAACGCCGCGUGAGUGAUGAAGGUCUUCGGAUCGUAAAACUCUGUUAUUAGGGAAGAACAUAUGUGUAAGUAAAUGUGCACAUCUUGACGGUACCUAAUCAGAAAGCCACGGCUAACUACGUG